RNAcentral lists this non-coding RNA (28 nucleotides) under Mus musculus (house mouse). The record is from RNAcentral. Lineage: Eukaryota; Metazoa; Chordata; Mammalia; Rodentia; Muridae.
UCCCAAGAAUCCUUGUUAAAUUUUUAAA